CUGGCCGUAAACGAUGUAGACUGGGCGUUUGUGGGGUAAAACCCAUGAGUGCCGAAGCUAACGCGAUAAGUCUACCGCCUGGGGAGUACGGUCGCAAGAUUAAAACUCAAAGGAAUUGACGGGGGCCCGCACAAGCAGCGGAGCGUGUGGUUUAAUUCGAUGAUACACGAAGAACCUUACCAGGGUUUGACAUACAAGUGGUAGUGAAACGAAAGUAGAACGACCCUUCGGGGAGCUUGAACAGGUGC
RNAcentral lists this ribosomal RNA (248 nucleotides) under uncultured Anaerolineaceae bacterium. RNAcentral describes it as "partial 16S ribosomal RNA". It matches the Rfam family "Bacterial small subunit ribosomal RNA", at positions 796 to 1041 of the family's 1533-position model. Lineage: Bacteria; Bacillati; Chloroflexota; Anaerolineae; Anaerolineales; Anaerolineaceae. The record is from RNAcentral.